Molecule: transfer RNA, 72 nt
Filed under: Nanobdellota archaeon
Lineage: Archaea; Nanobdellati; Nanobdellota
Description: tRNA-Thr
Rfam family: tRNA
About the family: Transfer RNA (tRNA) molecules are approximately 80 nucleotides in length.
Source: RNAcentral
GCCUGCAUAGCUCAGUGAUAGAGCAACGCACUUGUAAUGCGUAGGUCGGGGGUUUAAAUCCCUCUGCAGGCU